CCUAAUUCUUCUAAUGUGUCACUACCAAAUAAUUGUGAGCCUAUUCCCUGCCGUUCAAAUCAGAUAUCCAGCCCCAACUGUAAAUGUGCAUAUCCAUACACAGGACUUCUAGUUUUCAUAGCUCCUUCAUUCUCAGUCUUGGACAACAAAACAAAUUAUAUUUUACUCGUGCAGCAACUAAUGGAUUCUUUUAGUUCCAAGCAACUUCCUGUGGAUUCAGUUUCUAUAAGUAAUCAGAGAAAGGAUCCAUUUUCGUACUUAGAAUUAAAACUUGAAGUCUUUCCAUCUAACCAAGAUCAUUUCAAUCGAAGUGUUAUUUCUCAGAUUGCGUUUGUACUAAGCAACGCCAAUUUCAAUCCUACAAAACCAUUUGGACCUUACUUUUUUCAUGGAGAUUCUUAUCAGUAUUUUGCUGGAGAGGCUACAGGAUCAAACAACUCAUUAAACACUGGCAUUAUCAUUGGAGCCGUUGCUGGUGGUUCUGCCCUUGUACUAUUGUUGCUUCUUGCAGGGUUUUAUGCUUACCAUCAAAAGAAGA
This 538-nucleotide unclassified non-coding RNA is filed under the name Hevea brasiliensis (rubber tree). Lineage: Eukaryota; Viridiplantae; Streptophyta; Magnoliopsida; Malpighiales; Euphorbiaceae. The record is from RNAcentral.